This 701-nucleotide long non-coding RNA is filed under the name Rattus norvegicus (Norway rat). RNAcentral's name for it is "long non-coding RNA NONRATT016134". Lineage: Eukaryota; Metazoa; Chordata; Mammalia; Rodentia; Muridae. The record is from RNAcentral.
UGCCCCACCCAGAACCAGCUGGCCUUGCUCUGAGACCCUGGGAACUAGGAGCCUUUAAUUUCCAUCCUGGAUGAAUGUUAAUUCCAGAUAGAAGCCAUCCUUAGAUGGGAUGUGUGGUGGGUGGGUGGAUGGCAGAUACAGAAAUGGGAUGACAGGAAGACCAAGAGCAAUCCAGGCAGCAAAAGCUUGUUUUUGUCUCCUUGAGUCAGGACUUCUCAUGACUGGGCAAUCACACUCCAGGAUGUAUCUGGAUCUGGAGACAUGUGGAACCCUCCAGCCAGGUUAUGGAGGAAGAUCCCUGCUCAGCAAGUCUGGCAACUCAACACCCAGCACUAAUUAAGAAAAAGCAACUGAAUUUCCAAACGGGAGCUGCAAUGUUGGCUGAGUGUACGCAGCAGCAGAACCAAUCCCAUCCCUGCCAAGACCCAGGAUUCUGAACUUCAGAAGAAACUAAGUAAUUCUUGCUGUGCGACAUUCAACCCUGGUCCUAGAUUCGACAUUUAUUUACAGAAGAGACCUUUAACUUGAAAGGCUGAUUUUAUGACAAAUUCCGCCUUUCUGAGAAGGAUCAACUUCUCAUUUCGAUCAUGAAGGUAAAGGGAUUGCAGAGGGAAUUUAUAUUCUUGAUUCAAUUGUUAAACUGGUUCCCCUUGGAUUACCAGUUUAACUUGUCACAUUAGCCCACUAAAGACCAAAGAACA